GUAUGGGGAUCUGCCUGAUAGAGGGGGAUAACUACUGGAAACGGUGGCUAAUACCGCAUAAUGUCUACGGACCAAAGCAGGGGCUCUUCGGACCUUGCACUAUCGGAUGAACCCAUAUGGGAUUAGCUAGUAGGUGGGGUAAAGGCUCACCUAGACGACGAUCUCUAGCUGGUCUGAGAGGAUGAUCAGCCACACUGGGACUGAGACACGGCCCAG
RNAcentral lists this ribosomal RNA (216 nucleotides) under uncultured bacterium. RNAcentral describes it as "partial 16S ribosomal RNA". It matches the Rfam family "Bacterial small subunit ribosomal RNA", at positions 115 to 334 of the family's 1533-position model. The record is from RNAcentral.